GGCUAGUUCUACAGGUUUUAGGAGGUAUUCUUACCAUUAUAACCACCAUAACUAACCAUGUUCAGCUGAAGUACGGCACUUCCCCAGUAAGACUGGCAAGAGCAGUGUACAUCCCAUUCUAACCCCCAUAUUCUAGAAUGUCCUAGAACUCUACAAACACUCCACCUCAACUCAAGAAAGUAGAUGACAAUGCCUCCACUUGAUAAAAGUGGUCGCUGCACUUCAUUGACACUUCACAGCAAUUCUUGAGACGGGUGGCACUGUGCUCGACUCUGUGGACUGGAGGUUGACAAAGUUAAGGAUCGUUUAAGAAUACGGGGGUAAGUCUGCAGGCUUAACCUACAACUCCUUAACUUGUCAUUUUGUGAGCAUUAUAUGCUGUCCUAUCUGUGGCCCCAUUUCUGUGUACUAUCUCCUGUUGACUCUCUUGUCGGCAUAGUCUGUGAUUGCAAACGGUAAUUUUAUGUUUGCAAAUACAGAAGGUCAUGGCAGUUGGCUUGCCCACUGCGCUGGCUUUCCAGUUAAGUCUUCUUGCUGUUGUAGUUUCAACACCUGGCCAUGGCAACCACAUUACAUUGGGAGUGAAGCAUAAAAAUGGCUACAUACCCAGAUAUCAAGUACAAUGUGGCACAAGUUUCACUGGACACCAGCUAAGGGAACUGUUAUAGAACAUGGGGAAACCCUUAUGAACAAGAAAAUUAGUUUUGCAGGUAUACAGCUGCAAGUACAAGUUUCACAGCACAUGCCACAACAUGAUAGCUGCACUGCAGUUAACAACAGACGAUGACUUAUGCUGAUAUUCAUCAAUACCUACGACUUUGAAAGGAAUAAAGUGCGACCCAUGUGGAUAA
Molecule: long non-coding RNA, 851 nt
Filed under: Dermacentor andersoni
Lineage: Eukaryota; Metazoa; Arthropoda; Arachnida; Ixodida; Ixodidae
Description: uncharacterized LOC126544542
Source: RNAcentral